RNAcentral lists this ribosomal RNA (2296 nucleotides) under Streptococcus anginosus. Its description in RNAcentral is "bacterial LSU rRNA". It matches the Rfam family "Bacterial large subunit ribosomal RNA", at positions 1 to 2296 of the family's 2925-position model. The record is from RNAcentral. Lineage: Bacteria; Bacillati; Bacillota; Bacilli; Lactobacillales; Streptococcaceae.
AGGUUAAGUUAGUAAGGGCGCACGGUGGAUGCCUUGGCACUAGGAGCCGAAGAAGGACGUGACAAACGACGAAAUGCCUUGGGGAGCUGUAAGUAAGCGUAGAUCCAGGGAUAUCCGAAUGGGGGAACCCAGCAGGUACUACCUGUUACCCAUCUCUGUUAAGGAGAUGAGGAGGAAGACGCAGUGAACUGAAACAUCUAAGUAGCUGCAGGAAGAGAAAGCAAAAGCGAUUGCCUGAGUAGCGGCGAGCGAAAGGGCAAGAGGGCAAACCGAGAAGUUUACUUCUCGGGGUUGUAGGACUGCGAUGUGGACUUAAAGAUUAUAGAAGAAAACCUUGGGAAAGGUUGCCAGAGAGAGUAAGAGCCUCGUAUUUUAAAUAGUCUUUAUACCUAGCAGGAUCCUGAGUACGGCGGGACACGAGGAAUCCCGUCGGAAUCUGGGAGGACCAUCUCCCAACCCUAAAUACUCCCUAGUGACCGAUAGUGAACCAGUACCGUGAGGGAAAGGUGAAAAGCACCCCGGGAGGGGAGUGAAAGAGAACCUGAAACCGUGUGCCUACAACAAGUUCGAGCCCGUUAAUGGGUGAGAGCGUGCCUUUUGUAGAAUGAAACCGGCGAGUUACGUUAUGAUGCGAGGUUAAGUUGAAGAGACGGAGCCGUAGGGAAACCGAGUCUGAAGAGGGCGCCAUAGUAUCAUGACGUAGACCCGAAAACCAUGUGACCUACCCAUGAGCAGGUUGAAGGUGAGGUAAAACUCACUGGAGGACCGCACCAGGGCACGUUGAAAAGUGCUUGGAUGACUUGUGGGUAGCGGAGAAAUUCCAAACGAACUUGGAGAUAGCUGGUUCUCUCCGAAAUAGCUUUAGGGCUAGCGUCGACAGAAAGAUUCUUGGAGGUAGAGCACUGUUUGGGUGAGGGGUCCAUCCCGGAUUACCAAUCUCAGAUAAACUCCGAAUGCCAAAGAAUUAUGGUCGGCAGUCAGACUGCGAGUGCUAAGAUCCGUAGUCGAAAGGGAAACAGCCCAGACCACCAGCUAAGGUCCCAAAAUAAUUGUUAAGUGGAAAAGGAUGUGGGGUGCACAGACAACUAGGAUGUUAGCUUAGAAGCAGCUAUUCAUUCAAAGAGUGCGUAAUAGCUCACUAGUCGAGUGACCCUGCGCCGAAAAAUGUACCGGGGCUAAAACAAUUUACCGAAGCUGUGGAUCCUUUAGGGGAUGGUAGGAGAGCGUUCUAUGUGUGGUGAAGGUGUACCGUGAGGAGCGCUGGAACGCAUAGAAAGUGAGAAUGCCGGUAUGAGUAGCGCAAGACAGGUGAGAAUCCUGUCCACCGUAAGACUAAGGUUUCCAGGGGAAGGCUCGUCCGCCUGGGUUAGUCGGGACCUAAGGAGAGACCGAAAGGUGUAUCCGAUGGCCAACAGGUAGAGAUUCCUGUACUAGAGUAUAGAGUGAAGGAGGGACGCAGUAGGCUAACUCAAGCCGUGCGAAUGGAAGAGCACGUCUAAGCAGUGAGGUGUGAUAGGAGUCAAAUGCUUUCUAUCUGUAACAUUGAGCUGUGAUGGGGAGCGAAGUUUAGUAGCGAAGUGAGUGACGUCACACUUGCCAGAAAAGCUUCUAAGCGUUAAUUUAUACUCUACCCGUAACCGCAAACCGACACAGGUAGUCGAGGGCGAGUAGCCCUCAGGUGAUCGAGAGAACCUCUCGUAAGGAACUCGCAAAAUGACCCCGUAACUUCCGGGAGAAGGGGUGGCUCAGUGUAACCUGAGCCGCAGUGAAUAGGCCCAAGCAACUGUUUAUCAAAAACACAGCUCUCUGCUAAAUCGUAAGAUGAUGUAUAGGGGGUGACGCCUGCCGGUGGCUGGAAGGUUUAAGAGGAGUGCUUAGACGUAAGUCGAAGGUAUGAAUUGAAGCCCAGUAAACGGCGGCCGUAACUAUAACGGUCCUAAGGUAGCGAAAUUCCUUGUCGGGGUAAGUUUCCGACCGCACGAAAGGCGUAAUGAUUUGGGCACUGUCUCAACGAGAGACUCGGUGAAAUUUUAGUACCUGUGAAGGAUGCAGGGUUACCCGCGACAGGACGGAAAGACCCAUGGAGCUUUACUGCAGUUUUGAUAUUGAGUGUCCCUGUGCCACAUGUGACAGGAUAGGUAGGAGCCCAAAGGAGAUCGGGGACGCCAGUUUCGAUGGAGGCGAUGUUGGGAUACUACCCCUUGUGUUAUGGCCACUCUAACCCCGGAUAGGUAAUCCCCUAUCGGAGACAGUGUCUGACGGGCAGUUUGGACUGGGGCGGGUCGCCUCCUAAAGG